CCUACGGGUGGCUGCAGUGGGGAAUUUUGGACAAUGGGGGAAACCCUGAUCCAGCCAUCCCGCGUGUGCGAUGAAGGCCUUCGGGUUGUAAAGCACUUUUGGCAGGAAAGCGGUACCUGCAGAAUAAGCACCGGCUAACUACGUGCCAGCAGCCGCGGUAAUACGUAGGGUGCAAGCGUUAAUCGGAAUUACUGGGCGUAAAGCGUGCGCAGGCGGUUCGGAAAGAAAGAUGUGAAAUCCCAGAGCUUAACUUUGGAACUGCAUUUUUAACUACCGAGCUAGAGUGUGUCAGAGGGAGGUGGAAUUCCGCGUGUAGCAGUGAAAUGCGUAGAUAUGCGGAGGAACACCGAUGGCGAAGGCAGCCUCCUGGGAUAAACUGACGCUCAUGCACGAAAGCGUGGGGAGCAAACAGGAUUAGAUACCCGAGUAGUC
Molecule: ribosomal RNA, 432 nt
Filed under: uncultured bacterium
Lineage: Bacteria
Description: partial 16S ribosomal RNA
Rfam family: Bacterial small subunit ribosomal RNA
Source: RNAcentral